AAACUUAAAGGAAUUGACGGGACCGCACAAGCAGCGGAGCGUGUGGUUUAAUUCGUUGCUACACGAAGAACCUUACCUGGGUUUGACAUAUAGGUUGUAGGGAACUGAAAAGGGACCGACCCUUCGGGGAGCCUAUACAGGUGUUGCAUGGCUGUCGUCAGCUCGUGUCGUGAGAUGUUCGGUUAAGUCCGCUAACGAGCGCAACCCUCGUCGUAUGUUAUAUGUGUCAUACGAGACUGCCGGUAAAAAGCCGGAGGAAGGUGAGGAUGAUGUCAAGUCAGCAUGACCUUUAUAUCCAGGGCUACACACACGCUACAAUGGUCUGUACAAUGGGUAGCCAAGCCGCGAGGCGGAGCCAAUCCUGAAAGCAGGCCUCAGUUCAGAUUGCAGUCUGCAACUCGACUGCAUGAAGUCGGAAUCGCUAGUAAUCGCAGGUCAGCAUACUGCGGUGAAUACGUUCCCGGGCCUU
Molecule: ribosomal RNA, 469 nt
Filed under: uncultured Anaerolineaceae bacterium
Lineage: Bacteria; Bacillati; Chloroflexota; Anaerolineae; Anaerolineales; Anaerolineaceae
Description: bacterial SSU rRNA
Rfam family: Bacterial small subunit ribosomal RNA
Source: RNAcentral